UACGUAGGGGGCCAGCGUUGCUCGGAAUUACUGGGCGUAAAGGGCUCGUAGGUGGUGCGGCAAGUUGGAAGUGAAAUCUCUGGGCUUAACCCAGAGGCUGCUUUCGAAACUGCCGUGCUCGAGUGCGGGAGAGGCGAGUGGAAUUGCAGGUGUAGCGGUGAAAUGCGUAGAUAUCUGGAGGAACACCCGUGGCGAAGGCGGCUGGCUGGAUCGCAACUGACGCUGAGGAGCGAAAGCUAGGGGAGCAAACAGG
RNAcentral lists this ribosomal RNA (253 nucleotides) under uncultured bacterium. RNAcentral describes it as "partial 16S ribosomal RNA". It matches the Rfam family "Bacterial small subunit ribosomal RNA", at positions 524 to 776 of the family's 1533-position model. The record is from RNAcentral.